CCUACGGGAGGCAGCAGUAAGGAAUAUUGGUCAAUGGAGGCAACUCUGAACCAGCCAUGCCACGUGCAGGAUGACGGCCCUAUGGGUUGUAAACUGCUUUUAUACAAGAGAAAACCCUGGUACGUGUACCAGGUUGAUAGUAUUGUAAGAAUAAGCAUCGGCUAACUUCGUGCCAGCAGCCGCGGUAAGACGAAGGAUGCAAGCGUUAUCCGGAUUCAUUGGGUUUAAAGGGUGCGUAGGCGGACUGAUAAGUCAGUGGUGAAAUCUCUUUGCUUAACAAAGAAACUGCCAUUGAUACUGUCGGUCUAGAGUAUAGAUGACGUUGGCGGAAUAUGACAUGUAGUGGUGAAAUACUUAGAUAUGUCAUAGAACACCGAUUGCGAAGGCAGCUAACGAAACUAUAACUGACGCUGAGGCACGAAAGUGCGGGGAUCAAACAGGAUUAGAUACCCUGGUAGUCCGCACCGUAAACGAUGAUUACUCGUUGUUGGCGAUAUGACAGUCAGCGACCAAGCGAAAGCGAUAAGUAAUCCACCUGGGGAGUACGCCGGCAACGGUGAAACUUAAANGAUGAGNNGAGAGNGCGAGGACGACGACGAGGGGAGGAGG
Molecule: ribosomal RNA, 609 nt
Filed under: uncultured bacterium
Lineage: Bacteria
Description: bacterial SSU rRNA
Rfam family: Bacterial small subunit ribosomal RNA
Source: RNAcentral